Molecule: ribosomal RNA, 449 nt
Filed under: uncultured bacterium
Lineage: Bacteria
Description: partial 16S ribosomal RNA
Rfam family: Bacterial small subunit ribosomal RNA
Source: RNAcentral
AACGAACGCUGGCGGCAUGCCUAACACAUGCAAGUCGAGCGAGAUCUUCGGGUCUAGUGGCGCACGGGUGCGUAACACGUGGGAAUCUGCCCUUUGGUUCGGAAUAACAGUUGGAAACGACUGCUAAUACCGGAUGAUGACGAAAGUCCAAAGAUUUAUCGCCAGAGGAUGAGCCCACGUAGGAUUAGCUAGUUGGUGUGGUAAAGGCGCACCAAGGCGACGAUCCUUAGCUGGUCUGAGAGGAUGAUCAGCCACACUGGGACUGAGACACGGCCCAGACUCCUACGGGAGGCAGCAGUGGGGAAUAUUGGACAAUGGGCGAAAGCCUGAUCCAGCAAUGCCGCGUGAGUGAUGAAGGCCUUAGGGUUGUAAAGCUCUUUUACCCGGGAUGAUAAUGACAGUACCGGGAGAAUAAGCUCCGGCUAACUCCGUGCCAGCCGCCGCGGUAA